GCGGAUGUGGUGGAACGGCAGACACGCUAUCUUGAGGGGGUAGUGAGCAAUGCUCGUGCGGGUUCAAAUCCCGCCAUCCGCA
RNAcentral lists this transfer RNA (82 nucleotides) under Fusibacter sp. 3D3. RNAcentral describes it as "Fusibacter sp. 3-D3-R-P8ASC2010 tRNA". It matches the Rfam family "tRNA". From Rfam's summary of the family: Transfer RNA (tRNA) molecules are approximately 80 nucleotides in length. Their secondary structure includes four short double-helical elements and three loops (D, anti-codon, and T loops). Further hydrogen bonds mediate the characteristic L-shaped molecular structure. tRNAs have two regions of fundamental functional importance: the anti-codon, which is responsible for specific mRNA codon recognition, and the 3' end, to which the tRNAs corresponding amino acid is attached (by aminoacyl-tRNA synthetases). tRNAs cope with the degeneracy of the genetic code in two manners: having more than one tRNA (with a specific anti-codon) for a particular amino acid; and 'wobble' base-pairing, i.e. permitting non-standard base-pairing at the 3rd anti-codon position. The record is from Rfam by way of RNAcentral. Lineage: Bacteria; Bacillati; Bacillota; Clostridia; Eubacteriales; Fusibacteraceae.